RNAcentral lists this ribosomal RNA (468 nucleotides) under uncultured bacterium. RNAcentral describes it as "partial 16S ribosomal RNA". It matches the Rfam family "Bacterial small subunit ribosomal RNA", at positions 28 to 507 of the family's 1533-position model. The record is from RNAcentral.
GACGAACGCUGGCGGCGUGCUUAACACAUGCAAGUCGAACGGAAAGGCCCUGCUUUUGUGGGGUGCUCGAGUGGCGAACGGGUGAGUAACACGUGAGUAACCUGCCCUUGGCUGUGGGAUAACUUCAGGAAACUGGGGCUAAUACCGGAUAGGAGCUCCUGCUGCAUGGUGGGGGUUGGAAAGUUUCGGCGGUUGUGGAUGGACUCGCGGCUUAUCAGCUUGUUGGUGGGGUGGUGGCUUACCAAGGCAUUGACGGGUAGCCGGCCUGAGAGGGUGACCGGCCACAUUGGGACUGAGGUACGGCCCAGACUCCUACGUGAGGCAGCAGUGGGGAAUAUUGCACAAUGGGCGGAAGCCUGAUGCAGCAACGCCGCGUGCGGGAUGACGGCCUUCGGGUUGUAAACCGCUUUCGCCUGUGACGAAGCGUGAGUGACGGUAAUGUGUAAAGAAGCACCGGCUAACUACGUG